RNAcentral lists this ribosomal RNA (428 nucleotides) under uncultured archaeon. RNAcentral's name for it is "bacterial SSU rRNA". It matches the Rfam family "Archaeal small subunit ribosomal RNA", at positions 474 to 903 of the family's 1478-position model. The record is from RNAcentral.
UACCAGCUCUCCGAGUGGUAGGGAUGAUUAUUGGGCUUAAAGCGUCCGUAGCCGGCUUAGCAAGUCUCCUGUUAAAUUCAGCGACCUAAUCGUUGAGCCGCGGGAGACACUACUAGGCUAGGAGGCGGGAGAGGCCGACGGUAUUCUCGGGGUAGGGGUGAAAUCCUAUAAUCCCGGGAGGACCACCAGUGGCGAAGGCUGUCGGCUAGAACGCGCUCGACGGUGAGGGACGAAAGCUGGGGGAGCGAACCGGAUUAGAUACCCUGGUAGUCCCAGCUGUAAACGAUGCGGGCUAGGUGUUGGGGUGGCUACGAGCCACUUCAGUGCCGCAGGGAAGCCAUUAAGCCCGCCGCCUGGGGAGUACGGCCGCAAGGCUGAAACUUAAGGAAUUGGCGGGGGAGCACCACAAGGCGUGAAGCUUGCGGUUC